GGCGGUGUAGCUCAGCUGGCUAGAGCGUACGGUUCAUACCCGUAAGGUCGGGGGUUCGAUCCCCUCCGCCGCUAC
This 75-nucleotide transfer RNA is filed under the name Ectobacillus funiculus. RNAcentral's name for it is "tRNA-Met". It matches the Rfam family "tRNA". From Rfam's summary of the family: Transfer RNA (tRNA) molecules are approximately 80 nucleotides in length. Their secondary structure includes four short double-helical elements and three loops (D, anti-codon, and T loops). Lineage: Bacteria; Bacillati; Bacillota; Bacilli; Caryophanales; Bacillaceae. RNAcentral also lists the same sequence under 5 other names. The record is from RNAcentral.